AUGGUUUUGUCAGUGCGCCAUUAUUUCUUCUCAAGUUCUGCAAUGUAUUCAGAUAAAGAUGCUGCUAUAGACUAUCUUAAGGACAUAAUUUCACAGUUGGGUGACGCCAAGGAAUCAGAGGACUGGCAUAUGAACGAACAGGGCAAUGUAUACAUGAGGCUCAAUGCAAAGUGUGACAUAUUCCGGGCUGCAAGUUAUCAGUUACUCAAAGUUGCAAUGGCUAUUGUUGAUCUAGAUGAUGUCAAGAAUGGUAGUGCAAUACUAGCGUCACUGAUGAUUAUUCAAUACUCCUCUCGGAAUGAAGUCCGGGCCCCUGAAAUUGCAAUCUAG
Molecule: ribosomal RNA, 330 nt
Filed under: Triticum aestivum (bread wheat)
Lineage: Eukaryota; Viridiplantae; Streptophyta; Magnoliopsida; Poales; Poaceae
Description: partial small subunit ribosomal RNA
Source: RNAcentral